UGGGCGCAGCCUGAUGCAGCCAUGCCGCGUGUGUGAAGAAGGCCUUCGGGUUGUAAAGCACUUUCAGUCGUGAGGAAGGCGGUGUAGUUAAUAGCUGCAUUAUUUGACGUUAGCGACAGAAGAAGCACCGGCUAACUCCGUGCCAGCAGCCGCGGUAAUACGGAGGGUGCGAGCGUUAAUCGGAAUUACUGGGCGUAAAGCGCAUGCAGGUGGUUUGUUAAGUCAGAUGUGAAAGCCCGGGGCUCAACCUCGGAAUUGCAUUUGAAACUGGCAGACUAGAGUACUGUAGAGGGGGGUAGAAUUUCAGGUGUAGCGGUGAAAUGCGUAGAGAUCUGAAGGAAUACCGGUGGCGAAGGCGGCCCCCUGGACAGAUACUGACACUCAGAUGCGAAAGCGUGGGGAGCAAACAGGAUUAGAUACCCUGGUAGUCCACGCCGUAAACGAUGUCUACUUGGAGGUUGUGGCCUUGAGCCGUGGCUUUCGGAGCUAACGCGUUAAGUAGACCGCCUGGGGAGUACGGUCGCAAGAUUAAAACUCAAAUGAAUUGACGGGGGCCCGCACAAGCGGUGGAGCAUGUGGUUUAAUUCGAUGCAACGCGAAGAACCUUACCUACUCUUGACAUCCAGAGAACUUUCCAGAGAUGGAUUGGUGCCUUCGGGAACUCUGAGACAGGUGCUGCAUGGCUGUCGUCAGCUCGUGUUGUGAAAUGUUGGGGUUAAGUCCCGCAACGAGCGCAACCCUUAUCCUUGUUUGCCAGCGAGUAAUGUCGGGAACUCCAGGAGACUGCCGGUGAUAAACCGGAGGAAGGUGGGGGACGACGUCAAGUCAUCAUGGCCCUUA
RNAcentral lists this ribosomal RNA (840 nucleotides) under Vibrio rotiferianus. RNAcentral's name for it is "bacterial SSU rRNA". It matches the Rfam family "Bacterial small subunit ribosomal RNA", at positions 372 to 1204 of the family's 1533-position model. Lineage: Bacteria; Pseudomonadati; Pseudomonadota; Gammaproteobacteria; Vibrionales; Vibrionaceae. The record is from RNAcentral.